This 483-nucleotide ribosomal RNA is filed under the name uncultured bacterium. RNAcentral's name for it is "partial 16S ribosomal RNA". It matches the Rfam family "Bacterial small subunit ribosomal RNA", at positions 30 to 507 of the family's 1533-position model. The record is from RNAcentral.
UUGAACGCUAGCGGCAGGCCUAACACAUGCAAGUCGAGCGGAUGAAGGGAGCUUGCUCCUGGAUUCAGCGGCGGACGGGUGAGUAAUGCCUAGGAAUCUGCCUGGUAGUGGGGGAUAACGUCCGGAAACGGGCGCUAAUACCGCAUACGUCCUGAGGGAGAAAGUGGGGGAUCUUCGGACCUCACGCUAUCAGAUGAGCCUAGGUCGGAUUAGCUAGUUGGUGGGGUAAAGGCCUACCAAGGCGACGAUCCGUAACUGGUCUGAGAGGAUGAUCAGUCACACUGGAACUGAGACACGGUCCAGACUCCUACGGGAGGCAGCAGUGGGGAAUAUUGGACAAUGGGCGAAAGCCUGAUCCAGCCAUGCCGCGUGUGUGAAGAAGGUCUUCGGAUUGUAAAGCACUUUAAGUUGGGAGGAAGGGCAGUAAGUUAAUACCUUGCUGUUUUGACGUUACCAACAGAAUAAGCACCGGCUAACUUCGUG